RNAcentral lists this ribosomal RNA (379 nucleotides) under uncultured eukaryote. RNAcentral's name for it is "partial 18S ribosomal RNA". It matches the Rfam family "Eukaryotic small subunit ribosomal RNA", at positions 592 to 976 of the family's 1831-position model. The record is from RNAcentral.
CAAUAGCGUAUAUUUAAGUUGUUGCAGUUAAAAAGCUCGUAGUUGGAUUUCGGAUGGGAUUUGCCGGUCCGUCGUUACGAAGUGCACUGGCCAGUCCUAUCUUGUUGUCGGGGACUAGCUCCUUGGAUUCACUUCCUGGGACUAGGAGCUGACGAGGUUACUUUGAGUAAAUUAGAGUGUUCAAAGCAAGCCUACGCUCUGAAUACAUUAGCAUGGAAUAACACGAUAGGACUCUGGCUUAUCUUGUUGGUCUGUGAGACCAGAGUAAUGAUUAAGAGGGACAGUCGGGGACAUUCGUAUUUCAUUGUCAGAGGUGAAAUUCUUGGAUUUAUGAAAGACGAACUUCUGCGAAAGCAUUUGUCAAGGAUGUUUUCAUUAA